AAUUUUGGACAAUCGGCGCAAGCCUGAUCCAGUACUGGCGCGUGCAGGAUGAAGGCCUUCGGGGUGUAAAUUGCUUUUGUACGGAACGAAAAGUCUUGGGUUACUACCCCGGGUUCACGACGGUACCGUAAGAAUAAGCACCGGCCAACUACGUGCCAGCAGCCGCGGUAAUACGUAGGGUGCAAGCGUUAUUCGAAAUUAAUGGCGGAAAGCGUGCGCAGGCGGUUUUGUAAGACAGUGGUGAAAUCCCCGGGCUCAACCUGGGAACUGCCAUUGUGACUGCAAGGCUGGAGUGCGGCAGAGGGGGAUGGAAUUCCGCGUGUAGCAGUGAAAUGCGUAGAUAUGCGGAGGAACGCCGAUGGCGAAGGCAAUCCCCUGGGCCUGCACUGACGCUCAUGCACGAAAGCGUGGGGAGCAAACAGG
RNAcentral lists this ribosomal RNA (423 nucleotides) under uncultured bacterium. RNAcentral describes it as "partial 16S ribosomal RNA". It matches the Rfam family "Bacterial small subunit ribosomal RNA", at positions 360 to 776 of the family's 1533-position model. The record is from RNAcentral.